AUACGGAGGAUGCGAGCGUUAUCCGGAUUUAUUGGGUUUAAAGGGAGCGUAGGCGGGAGCUUAAGUCAGCGGUUAAAUGGUGCGGCUCAACCGUGCCCUGCCGUUGAAACUGGGUUUCUUGAGAGUGCAAGAGGCGGAUGGAAUUCAUGGUGUAGCGGUGAAAUGCUUAGAUAUCAUGAAGAGCUCCGAUUGCGAAGGCAGUCCGCUGGGGUACGUCUGACGCUGAUGCUCGAAGGUGCGGGAAUCAAACAGGAUUAGAUACCCUGGUAGUCCGCACGGUAAACGAUGAUUACCCGCUGUCGGCGGCAGACAGUCGGCGGCCAAGCGAAAGCGAUAAGUAAUCCACCUGGGGAGUGCGCCGGCAACGGUGAAACUCAAAUGAAUUGGCGGGG
RNAcentral lists this ribosomal RNA (392 nucleotides) under uncultured bacterium. RNAcentral describes it as "partial 16S ribosomal RNA". It matches the Rfam family "Bacterial small subunit ribosomal RNA", at positions 523 to 918 of the family's 1533-position model. The record is from RNAcentral.